CGCCGCCCGGGACGUCCAGCUGAGAUUCCUAUAUCUGGGCAGGCACCGAGGUUGGGGGUGACCUGGUGGCUCCCCUCAGCCCAUCAGGACCGAUGUCCGCGGGGUUGAGGGUGGCCUCCAACGGCAGACGCGCUUGGGCGGCGCCCGAAGGACCGAGUGCGCUCGGCGGGCGACUCCGGCACUCACUGGGCUGAGCCGGGAAGGCUGCGGCUUUGGGCGAGCGCGGCGCUAAAGUCCAUCGGGCCGGGCGGGCUAAAGUUCAGCGAGGAUGCUUUCGGGAUCUGGGAGAGGAAGGAGGGAAGACAAGAGCCCCAGGGAAGAAACCGUCUGUUUUUUGAUGUCUCUGUUUUAAUGGAGGCAACCAGUUCUCAGGAAGACCGAGUUAGGAGUGGCCACCGGCACAGUGCGGCUCAGAAAUGCACAGGUCAAAACCGUGGCUAAGAACGCUGUGUCCGGGUGUCCCGGGGGUGGGGGUGGGGGCUGCCACUUUGUUUAACAUCGGGAUACAAAAUAAUCACUAGGGUAGGGAGAUAUGCUCACCCUGCUUAUUUGUAGGCAAGAAACAAAUGCAAAAACAUAACAUGACAUCGUCUGUAACACCACAGCGCUUACGACGUAGCUCUUUCACUAGACAAAAGCCCAUUUUAUCUUCUGCAAAACCCAUCUGAACCUUUGGAACUUUCAUUUGCGGCAUUUGGGCGCCCUCUGGCUGUGUCUGGAUUGUUUUCACGCUUGCCUACAUCCCUGCAAAGAAAAACCGAUUGAGCUGCUAGUUUUCUUCCUGGAUGGUUCUGCCCUCUUGACCUGGGCUUGGAUUCCAGGGUAGAAAUGUUAUUCAAAAUGAGGUGACAAAAUGUAAGCAUAUUUAUGGGGGCAGACGCCAAAAGCAAGUGCAUCCGCCUUCAACUGGGGAAAGGUAGAAGGUUGCCCCAUUUCUGCCUGAAGGGAUGCCAUGGGAAUCUGACAAUGGACACCCCACAUUUCCUUGUCAGUUGCUUAAAAUCUGCUCAAGGGCUUGCAAAAUGCUCCAGAGCCUGGAAACCUGAGGAUGGAAGAGGCAGCCUGGGCCAAGAAAACUUAGGAGGGCCGUGAUUACCUACCAUCAAGCUGGGUGGCCUCAAGAUGCCACAAGUGUCACCUUGGGAACAUUGGGAGCAGAUUCAGGCUGGAAGGGAAUGGCCCUGACAUCCGGCCAUGCAGAGUGCCCUUCUGGCUUUCAGUGUGUGCCUGUUAACAGCCAACUUCCUGAAUCAUGUAGAUUCUGACCUGCAGUUCCUGCUGGUUCUUUCAACCCAGAUCAAGCAUCACAGAUUUCACCCUGUCAGACCAUUCCCAACAAUACUUCUUCCACUGGUCCAUUUAAUGAGAAGGAAAAUGGCUUAAACUGCAAUUCUGUCCAGAAGGCUUGGAAAGCUAGCUUCCCUACAGGACCUUCAAAGAUCCAGGACUUCAAGGUGGGAGAUAUCCAAAGGCCAAGAGGCAGAACAGGGGUUGAUUGAUCAACAGAAGCAACCACCUCCAGGCUCCCUGCCUCCAGCCUUGGCUAGAAACUUACUCUAGAGAAACUGAUCCCAAGAGACACAGGCCUGAAAGUGGGGGAAUCACCUGAGUGUUGGCCUAACGAUAGUGGAACACCCAGCCCACUCCCACAACCCAAUGCCAGAAACAUUCCCAGAACUUGGUGCCUGUACAUUCCUGCAGCCAGAAAACCCCACCCACCCCAUAGGAGAUUGGCGACGUCAUUGGAGAGAGAGUUCCCUCAUGAAAAGGCCAGUUAGCCAAAAUUUUAGUUUGACACCAUUAUGAAGCCUGCUCACCCACAGUUCUGUCCACAGAGAGCUUGCAAAUCGCUUUCAAGACCCCUGUUUAAUUACAAAAGGGCAAUCAAGGAGCACCAAGUUUUAAGAAAAUGUGUAACAAGAAUUAAAGGAGACCGGAGUUCCUGUCGUGGCUCAGUGGUUAACAAACCAGACUAGGAUCCAUGAGGAUGCGGGUUCAAUCCCUGGCCUUGCUCAAUGGGUGGGGGUUCCAGCAUUGCUGUGGUUGUGAUGUAGGCCAGCAGCUGUAGCUCUGAUUCGACCUCUAGCCUGGGAAGGGAACCUCCAUAUGCCAUGGGUAUGGCCCUAAAAAGAAAAAAAAAAAAAAAAAAAAGGACACAUGUUUUAAACAAAUUCCUAGAAAGAAACAGCAUACUGAAUACCGUACUAAUAAAGCAAGCACAGACAAGCCACAGGCAAAUAGCAGGGCAGAUCCACCUGUACUCAGCAUGAGGUAAAACUAAGAGUAAUCAAGUCACCUCUGACAAUAAGCUGGACAAAAAGUUUUAAGUGAGCAGGAAGCUGCAUUGUCAUGAGGAUUUGCACGCACUGUUAUUCAAGAAGAACCCCACCCCAAAUGUGAAACGUGCCUCGAGGGGACAGCUAAUGGCAAGAUCGAGCGCCAUAAUUCACAAGACAUCUAAAAACACUUUCUAUUUCUGCUUAAACUCAUCUUUGAAAACUUUUUGCUGUUGUGUGUUUUAUCACCUAUGAUUAGUAUAAAUUGCAUGUGUGUAUUAUUUAGAGGACACCUUAAUUUUUUUUUUUCUCUACGGAUUGUAUGCAGUGUCAAAAGAGCUUUGAAGCCACUGCUGUAGACAUGGGAGUUCCAUGAGCCUUGGGGACUUUGCAGAAGGCUGUGCCAGAAUUCUGCUGGAGGGAAACUACUUCAUCCUACGAGUAUGGGGGCCAUGAAUAUUUACAAUAGCACAGCAUGAAACCGUAAUGAGCUAAAUGAGAUUAAUCUAUUAGCCCUUGAAUUGAAAUGAUGGAAUAAAUUUGAGAAACACAGCAAAGGAUCAAGAAAAGAGACCUGACUGGUUUAAUAAAGGAGGGCAUUUGUCAUGACACUGCCUGGUAAAUACAACAAUCAACAGCCUAAAGCACAAUAAUGCCACUAACUUUAUGACUGUAUCAUUCCUUGUUUGUCCCUAGGCAAGUAUCUUCUGCUUAAACCUUAUUUUCAGGGUCACCUAGAGUUAUGUACCUAGAAGCAUUUUCUUGACACUCUUAGGCCUAAGGAAUAACAUCAGGUUAUGAAAACUCAGGCUUUCCCUGUUUUUAAGGUACUUUCACCCUAACUGGAUGUUUAAGGUAUAAAUGCAAGAAUACUAGUUAACAGUUCUGCACCCUCAGCAUAUGCCCCUACCGGUCUUCUAAGAAAUUUACACAUAUUACCUCAUUUAAUCCUCACCAAAUUCUCUGUUACCAUACCCAUUUCACUGAUGAGGAAAUCAAGACCCCGAGAAGCUAAAUAACUUGCCCACCAUCCAAUGGUAAAGCUGGAUUCCUACCCAAUGAAUGUAGCUCCAAACCACACACUAAAUACUGCAAGAGUGUAAUCAGUGUAAUUGCUCAGAAAUGCCUUUUCAUGACACAUAUUUCCUUCUGAGAUGCCAAACCAUUCAACUCUACAAAUUUUCCAGGCUUUUG
Long non-coding RNA from Sus scrofa (pig), 3470 nucleotides. RefSeq lists it as uncharacterized. The record is from RefSeq and is a predicted model, not a curated record. Lineage: Eukaryota; Metazoa; Chordata; Mammalia; Artiodactyla; Suidae.